Molecule: long non-coding RNA, 670 nt
Organism: Ictalurus punctatus (channel catfish)
Lineage: Eukaryota; Metazoa; Chordata; Actinopteri; Siluriformes; Ictaluridae
Exons: 3
Source: RefSeq, a predicted model, not a curated record
CACUGAACUGAAUCAGGUUAAUGAGCAGGUUUAAUGCUCGGAUUUUUAGCUGAACUUGCGCUUCUUGAAGUUUUAAUACAGAACACAGACUAACAUAAACAAGAUGCAUGAACCCCAUCUAAUCUGGAAAAAAAACAUAUUGAGAUCAGCAGUUUCUGAGAUACUCACACCAGCCUGUCUGUUAUCCUGUAUCUGCAUGAUUUCAUGCGCUGUGCUGCUGUCAGAUGAUUGGAUGAUUGGAUGACAGCAUGAAUAAGUGUUCCUAAUGGUUCCUAAAAGGUUGGUGAGUGUAUAUUAUAUUUACAUUAUUUAUUUAGUCAAUGAGCUUUGCCCGCGGUUUACUGCAUUUCUUUUGUUUUUUUGUUACUAGCAGAUUGAAUCAAAUCUGAUCAUUUUGUUUGACAUUUCUACCUUUUUUUGAGAUCAGACAUUUCAAUUCAACAGAAAAGUGCUUGGAUGGAAACACAGCUAUAUAAACACUAUCCAUAUAAAACCAACAACCUACAAAUAAGUGAAUCUAUUUCACUCUGAGUUACAAUCUAUCUGAGUGAGCACUGAGUGAUUCAACAAAUGACCGGGGGACUGAAUAGAAAGCCACGUGUUGUUAAGAUGUGCUGAUCAAUAAAAUAUGAACAUGAUCCAAAGCCAAAAAAAAAUAAAAAUAAAAUAA